GGAAUAUUGGUCAAUGGGCGCAAGCCUGAACCAGCCAUGCCGCGUGCAGGAUGACGGUCCUAUGGAUUGUAAACUGCUUUUGUACGAGAAGAAACAACUCUACGUGUAGAGUCUUGACGGUAUCGUAAGAAUAAGGAUCGGCUAACUCCGUGCCAGCAGCCGCGGUAAUACGGAGGAUCCAAGCGUUAUCCGGAAUCAUUGGGUUUAAAGGGUCCGUAGGCGGUUUAGUAAGUCAGUGGUGAAAGCCCAUCGCUCAACGGUGGAACGGCCAUUGAUACUGCUAAACUUGAAUUAUUAGGAAGUAACUAGAAUAUGUAGUGUAGCGGUGAAAUGCUUAGAGAUUACAUGGAAUACCAAUUGCGAAGGCAGGUUACUACUAAUAUAUUGACGCUGAUGGACGAAAGCGUGGGUAGCGAACAGGAUUAGAUACCCUAG
Molecule: ribosomal RNA, 435 nt
Filed under: uncultured Flavobacterium sp.
Lineage: Bacteria; Pseudomonadati; Bacteroidota; Flavobacteriia; Flavobacteriales; Flavobacteriaceae
Description: bacterial SSU rRNA
Rfam family: Bacterial small subunit ribosomal RNA
Source: RNAcentral